Molecule: ribosomal RNA, 495 nt
Filed under: uncultured bacterium
Lineage: Bacteria
Description: partial 16S ribosomal RNA
Rfam family: Bacterial small subunit ribosomal RNA
Source: RNAcentral
GACGAACGCUGGCGGCGUGCCUAAUACAUGCCAGUAGAACGCUGAAGGAGGAGCUUGCUUCUCUGGAUGAGUUGCGAACGGGUGAGUAACGCGUAGGUAACCUGCCUGGUAGCGGGGGAUAACUAUUGGAAACGAUAGCUAAUACCGCAUAAUAGUAGAUGUCGCAUGACAUUUGCUUAAAAGGUGCAAUUGCAUCACUACCAGAUGGACCUGCGUUGUAUUAGCUAGUUGGUGAGGUAACGGCUCACCAAGGCAACGAUACAUAGCCGACCUGAGAGGGUGAUCGGCCACACUGGGACUGAGACACGGCCCAGACUCCUACGGGAGGCAGCAGUAGGGAAUCUUCGGCAAUGGACGGAAGUCUGACCGAGCAACGCCGCGUGAGUGAAGAAGGGUUUCGGAUCGUAAAGCUCUGUUGUAAGAGAAGAACGAGUGUGAGAGUGGAAAGUUCACACUGUGACGGUAUCUUACCAGAAAGGGACGGCUAACUACGUG